GGAUUCCGGGUCCGCACCCGGAAUGGCUCUUCCGGCCGCCUAUCCGCCGGACAAC
RNAcentral lists this non-coding RNA (55 nucleotides) under Salibaculum griseiflavum. Its description in RNAcentral is "sul1 RNA". It matches the Rfam family "sul1 RNA". The record is from RNAcentral. Lineage: Bacteria; Pseudomonadati; Pseudomonadota; Alphaproteobacteria; Rhodobacterales; Roseobacteraceae.